AAAGGAAUUGAAUUUCUUAUCAAUGCUAAUAAGGUGGGAAGUUCACCUGAGGAGAUAGCUGCAUUUCUUAAAGAUGCGUCUGGUUUGGACAAGACUCUGAUUGGUGAUUAUUUAGGGGAGAGGGAAGACUUAUCACUUAAAGUAAUGCAUGCAUAUGUGGAUUCCUUUGACUUUCAAGGAUUGGAGUUUGAUGAGGCUAUUAGAGCACUCCUUAAAGGUUUUAGGUUGCCCGGUGAGGCACAAAAGAUUGAUCGUAUUAUGGAAAAGUUUGCCGAGCGUUAUUGCAAGUGUAAUCCAAA
Molecule: unclassified non-coding RNA, 299 nt
Filed under: Hevea brasiliensis (rubber tree)
Lineage: Eukaryota; Viridiplantae; Streptophyta; Magnoliopsida; Malpighiales; Euphorbiaceae
Source: RNAcentral